Molecule: long non-coding RNA, 229 nt
Filed under: Phoenix dactylifera (date palm)
Lineage: Eukaryota; Viridiplantae; Streptophyta; Magnoliopsida; Arecales; Arecaceae
Description: long non-coding RNA (PDAC_LNC002409)
Source: RNAcentral
ACACUUGGCGCCCACACAAUGAUGGGUUGCGCGCAUGCAAGACAUGGGCAUGGACACGGGCGGCAACCAGGGGCACCAACCCAUGCGUGCGCACUUGGGCGCACACACAGAUGGCACAGCAAGCACAAGGCUCGGCCAAGGCUGCAUCCGGCCGAGCGCUCCCAAGCCAAACAAGUCCAAGAUCAGCGCACGGGUCAAGCGCAGCCAAGAACACAGCAAGACAUCCGAG